UAGAAGUUUGAACAAGUAUCUUGGAAUGAUUCUAAAGGGAUCAGUCCUGGCUUUCGAUUUGACCUGUAUUGGUCGAAAGAAGAUGUUGAAAAUUAUGAUAUCUCCGACGUGAUCAAAAUCAGCUUUGGUGAUGCGUCACAAAGACUUGUGCUGUUGUUCUUUUAUGAAAGCGAGAUCAAUAAGAAUGAGGAGAAUGUGAAAGUCUGCGAAGAGGACC
Ruditapes philippinarum (Manila clam) is the source of this 217-nucleotide long non-coding RNA. RefSeq lists it as uncharacterized. Lineage: Eukaryota; Metazoa; Mollusca; Bivalvia; Venerida; Veneridae. The record is from RefSeq and is a predicted model, not a curated record. The transcript has 3 exons.